AGAGUUUGAUUCUGGCUCAGAACGAACGCUGGCGGCGUGGAUAAGACAUGCAAGUCGAACGGAAGAAUGCUAGCUUGCUAAUAUUCUUCAGUGGCGCACGGGUGAGUAACACGUGAGCAACCUACCUUCGAGUGGGGGAUAGCCCCGGGAAACUGGGAUUAAUACCGCAUGAGGUCGAAAGAUCAAAGCAGCAAUGCGCUUGAAGAUGGGCUCGCGUCCUAUUAGUUAGUUGGUGAGGUAACGGCUCACCAAGGCGAUGACGGGUAGCCGGUCUGAGAGGAUGUCCGGCCACACUGGAACUGAGACACGGUCCAGACACCUACGGGUGGCAGCAGUCGAGAAUCAUUCACAAUGGGGGCAACCCUGAUGGUGCGACGCCGCGUGGGGGAAGAAGGUCUUCGGAUUGUAAACCCCUGUCAUGUGGGAGCAAGCAGCAAUGUUGAUAGUACCACAAGAGGAAGAGACGGCUAACUCUGUGCCAGCAGCCGCGGUAAUACAGAGGUCUCAAGCGUUGUUCGGAAUCACUGGGCGUAAAGAGUACGUAGGCUGUUUUCUAAGUCAGGUGUGAAAGGCAGGGGCUCAACCCCUGGACUGCACAUGAUACUGGGAGACUGGAGUAAUGGAGGGGGAACCGGAAUUCUCGGUGUAGCAGUGAAAUGCGUAGAUAUCGAGAGGAACACUCGUGGCGAAGGCGGGUUCCUGGACAUUAACUGACGCUGAGGUACGAAGGCCAGGGUAGCGAAAGGGAUUAGAUACCCCUGUAGUCCUGGCAGUAAACGGUGCACGCUUGGUGUGAGGGGACUCGACCCCCCUCGUGCCGGAGCUAACGCGUUAAGCGUGCCGCCUGGGGAGUACGGUCGCAAGAUUAAAACUCAAAGAAAUUGACGGGGACCCGCACAAGCGGUGGAGUAUGUGGCUUAAUUCGAUGCAACGCGAAGAACCUUACCUGGGCUUGACA
This 958-nucleotide ribosomal RNA is filed under the name human gut metagenome. RNAcentral's name for it is "bacterial SSU rRNA". It matches the Rfam family "Bacterial small subunit ribosomal RNA", at positions 8 to 986 of the family's 1533-position model. The record is from RNAcentral.